GGAGUGUCCUCAACAUCUAGAAAGUCAAAGCUAUACAUUGGAAAAGCAUUUUGCUAUGAUACUGUAAUUGGCACAAUCAUGUAUUUUAUAUGGCUCAUUAUAUGUGCUUUGUGAAAGGUUAAGUAACUGAGGUGUGUGCUGGUUCAUGUUAACCAAUGACUGUAAAGUAGGUGUUCUUAUUUCCCAAGAAAGGCGGGACCAAAGUAAUAACUGAUAUAUUCUCCACUUUUUUGGCAGACAAGCUGCAAAUAAUUUACCCUCGCAUACAGAAGCUGAUACUUGCGCAGUAGAACACACGUUUGCCUGCUGAGAUGUCAACAGGUGCUUGUUGCUCCACGCAGGAUGAACUGGCUCGCAUCAGCGGCGUACGGAAUGCAUGCCAGUUUCACGCGGCGCCAAGCCUCCGUGCAAACAGUGGGACGCGACGGAAAAGACAGUUUACGCCUGAUGAGCAGAAAGACAGUAAUUACUGGCUCAAGCGGACUCGUAAUAACGAAGCUGCAAAGAGGUCUCGCCAGCGCAAGAGGAUGGAGGAGCAUCUUUUGGAGACGCGCGCCGUCGAGCUUCAACGAGAAAACGACAAAUUAAAGGCUGUGCUCUCUACAGUUCAUCAUCACAGCACUGCUCAAAAUAACCCGAUGCAUGCUGCUUUUGGGUUCCCCCUCGGACUGCCAAAUGACGGUCAUCCGCGCAGUUUACCCGUUCCUACGAAUGUGUUACCAUUGCGCGGUCUGCCUCAUUGCCCAUUUUCCGGUGGCUGCGGAUCAAUAUGUCCUCAAACAAAUCAUUUUAGCUCGGUUUUCGAUUUGGUAUCAUACCCUGUGCUGAAAAACGCUGCCGCUACUAAUACUACGAACCCCCCGCGCAUCAGUUUAUUGGAUAGUUAUCAUCCAAUGGGCAAGUACGGUCAUGGGAACACAUGCGCCAGCGGAGCUUAUCAGAGGAAUAGAAGUUUUGCGAAUGGAAAUAACUCUGCUCAAACGAUGCACGGGCUGCCGGACUGUAGAAACGCUUUGGUCAACCUGUCGCGUGUUCCCCGCUGUUAUAAUUACAAAGCGUCGUCCUCUGAAAUGGCACAGGAUUGCGCGCGGCAGCCUGGCCAGAUCGGAGCCGCGUAUGAAGGCGAAAUGCAAGCUAACACGGCAGAACUAACAUGCCAACAACAAGCGACCACGCAGUCGGUUCUGCUUCCACACAAACUGCGCUACAAAGGUGGAAACGCAAGGUUUGCAUCCGCGAGCUUUUCAUCGUAA
RNAcentral lists this long non-coding RNA (1253 nucleotides) under Sinocyclocheilus anshuiensis. RNAcentral describes it as "lncRNA (ENSSANG00000019827.1)". Lineage: Eukaryota; Metazoa; Chordata; Actinopteri; Cypriniformes; Cyprinidae. The record is from RNAcentral.